This 377-nucleotide unclassified non-coding RNA is filed under the name uncultured bacterium. RNAcentral describes it as "contains 16S-23S intergenic spacer region". The record is from RNAcentral.
UCCGGUUUGGCACCGGCAGUCCUCCCAGAGUCCCCGCCUUGACGCGCUGGCAACUGGGAGCGGGGGUUGCGCUCGUUGCGGGACUUAACCCAACAUCUCACGACACGAGCUGACGACAGCCAUGCAGCACCUGUGUCCAGGUUCCCUUUCGGGCACCCCUCCAUCUCUGGAGGGUUCCUGGCAUGUCAAGGGUAGGUAAGGUUUUUCGCGUUGCAUCGAAUUAAUCCACAUAAUCCACCGCUUGUGCGGGUCCCCGCCAAUUCCUUUGAGUUUCAAUCUUGCGAUCGUACUUCCCAGGUGGGAUACUUAAUGCUUUCGCUCAGACACCAACAGUGUAUCGCGUAUGUCGAGUAUCCAUAGUUUAGGGCGUGGACUAC